AGUGCUAUGAAUUUCCCUCUAAACACUUAAAAUAUGGAACACUUCAUGAAUUUGUGUAUCUUCCUUGUGCAGGGGCCGUGGUAAUCUUCUCUGUAUUGUUACAAUUUUAGUAUAUGUGCUGCUGAGCGAGCACCUUAUUUGUUCUUCUUAUCAUAGAGGAUCCAACAUAUAACUUUGUGAUAUUAUCAGUAUGUAAAUGAUAGCUGAAGCCACAUAUAUAUAAAUGACAUGAUCGGGAAGAAUGUGUGGUGGAGAAAGAAAGAGUUGAAAAUGGAACCCUGGAGAAUAACAACGUUUAAGGUUCAGGCCUUUAAAGAAGUCUUUUUCCUGCAGAUUGGGAAAGAGUAGCUAACCAAGUGAGAGAUAACUCCAGGAAAAUACAACAUUUCAACUGUGAUGGAGAUAUCAGGGAUGUCAAAUGCAUCAGAAAGGUCUAGGAAGAUAAGAAUGGAAAAGUGCUAUGUUUAUCAACACAAUUGUUCUAUUCCUUUUGAAAGGUGAAGCCGGCUGGGCUUCUGGGUUGGGUGGGGACUUGGAGAACUUUUGUGUCUAGCUAAAGGAUUGUAAAUGCACCAACCAGCACUCUGUGUCUAGCUAAAGGAUUGUAAACGCACCAACAGCACUCUGUAAAAUGCACCAGUCAGCAGUCUGUAAAAUGGACCAAUCAGCAGUCUGUAGUAUGGACCAAUCAGGGCUCUGUAAAAUGGACCAAUCAGCAGGAUGUGGGCGGGACCAAAUAAGGGAAUAAAAGCUGGCCCCCUGAGCCAGCAGCGGCAACCUGCUCAGGUCCCAUUCCAUGCUGUGGAAGCUUUGUUGUUUCGCUCUUCACAAUAAAUCUUGCUGCUGCUCACUCUGCGUCCGCACUACCUUUAACAGCUGUAACACUCACUGCGAAGGUCUGCGGCUUCACUCCUGAAGUCAGUGAGACCACGAACCCACCGGGAGGAACAAACAACUCUGGACGCACCAGCUUUAAGAGCUCACUGUGAAGGUCUGCGGCUUCACUCCUGAAGUCAGCAAGACCACGAACCUACUGGGAGGAACAAACAACUCUGGACGUGCCACCUUUAAGAGCUGUAACAUUAACUGCGAAGGUCUGUGGCUUCACUCCUGAAGUCAGCGAAACCAUGAACCCACCAGAAGGAAGAACCUCUGGACAGAUCUGAACAUUUGAAGGAACAAACUCCGGACACACCAUCUUUAAGAACUGUAACACUCACCACGAGAGUCCGCGGCUUCAAUCUUGAAGUCAGCGAGGCCAAGAAACCACUGGAAGGAGCCAAUUCUGGACACAUUUUGGCAACCACGAAGGGACUGUCACCUAUAGCCAAGCGGAUCGAGGCCAUCAAGCUACAGAUGGUCUUACAAAUGGAACCCCAAAUGAGCUCAACUAACAACUUCUACCAAGGACCCUUGGACCAACCCACUGGCCCUUUCAGUGGCCUAAAGAGUUCCCCUCUGGAGGACACUAGAACUGCAGGGCCCCUUCAUAGCCCCCAUCCCCCAGGAACUAGCUAGAGUGGUCAUCACCCGAUUCCCAACAGCAGUUAGGGUGUCCUGUUUAGAGGGAGGACUGAGAGGUGAAGCCGGCUGGGCUUCUGGGUUGGGUGGGGACUUGGAGAACUUUCGUGUCUAGCUAAAGGAUUGUAAAUGCACCAAUCAGCGCUCUGUGUCUAGCUAAAGGAUUGCAAACGCACCAAUCAUCACUCUGUAAAAAUGCACCAAUCAGCACUCUGUAAAAUGGGUCAAUCAGCACUCUGUAAAAUGGACCAAUCAGCCCCCUGUAAAAUGGACAAAUCAGCAGGAUGUGGGCGGGGCCAAAUAAGGGAAUAAAAGCUGGCCACCUGAGCCAGCAGUGGCAACCUGCUAGGGUCCCAUUCCACGCUGUGGAAGCUUUAUUCCUUUGCUCUUCACAAUAAAUCUUGCUGCUGCUCACUCUUUGGGUCCACACUACCUUUAUGAGCUGUAACACUCACUGUGAAGGUCUGCGGCUUCACUCCUGAAGUCAGUGAGACCACGAACCCACCGGGAGGAACAAACAACUCCAGACACACCAUCUUUAAGAGAUGUAACACUCACUGCGAAGGUCUGUGGCUUCACUCCUGAAGUCAGCGAGACCACGAACCCACCGGAAGGAAGAAACUCUGGACACAUCUGAACAUCUGAAGGAACAAACUCCAGAUACACCAUCUUUAAGAACUGUAACACUCACCAUGAGGGUCCGUGGCUUCAUUCGUGAAGUCAGCGAGAUCAAGAACCCACUGGAAGGAACCAAUUCUGGACACACUUUUGUGACACUAGAGUCAGUAGAGAAAUGUGUGAGAUGAUGGAAGGGGGAGACUGACUGGAAGAUGAGGAUGCCAAUGUAGAAACCAUACAUGAGACACCUUUUUCAAAAAGUUUGAAGGGAAGAGAAAAAGAAAGGUACAACAGAGAUGGUUAUUACUUUUAGCUUUUAUCUAAGUGGGGUUUUCUUUUACCUGAAAACGACUGCAGCCUGUUUAAACAGGAAGGAAUCUGUGGAAAUAGAAUAGUCGAGGGCACAGGAAAGGGGCAUGAAGAUAGUUGAAUAGAGAUUUCUGAGGAAGCCAGGCAGUGGUAUCAGAUUGAUCUCAGAGGCAGGGAAAGACACCUCUUCUAGUUUAACAGGACAAAAGAAGCAAAUUUGCCCAUAUGUUGUAAUUGGGAAGUGAGAUAAUAUUUGAAUAAAUUCCUGAGUGAUGAUGCCUCUUUUUUUUCUGUAAAAUAGGAGAUGAUGCCAUGGCUUAAGAGUAAGGAGUGUGGUGGAGAAGGAGGAACUUGCUGUGAGUGAAGGUGUUUUUAAAAGGCCACUGUGGGCUGGGCAUGGUGGC
Molecule: long non-coding RNA, 2852 nt
Filed under: Homo sapiens (human)
Lineage: Eukaryota; Metazoa; Chordata; Mammalia; Primates; Hominidae
Description: HSALNT0051893
Source: RNAcentral